AGCGCAGGCGGAGAAGCAAGUCAGUGGUGAAAACGAUGGGCUUAACUCAUCGACUGCCAUUGAAACUGUUUCCCUUGAGUGAAGUAGAGGCAGGCGGAAUUCCGAGUGUAGCGGUGAAAUGCGUAGAUAUUCGGAGGAACACCAGUGGCGAAGGCGGCCUGCUGGGCUUUAACUGACGCUGAGGCUGAAAGUGUGGGGAGCAAACA
RNAcentral lists this ribosomal RNA (206 nucleotides) under uncultured bacterium. RNAcentral describes it as "partial 16S ribosomal RNA". It matches the Rfam family "Bacterial small subunit ribosomal RNA", at positions 568 to 774 of the family's 1533-position model. The record is from RNAcentral.